UGGAAGUGUGCCGCCGCCGCCGCCUCCUCCCCCUUUCUCUUUAUCGGCCUCCCUCCCCAACAGUGCAUCAAAGCCGUGUUUUUUUAUUUUAUGUUAUUAUUACUAUUAUUUUUUGUUUGUUCACUUUCGUCUGGCCUCCCCAAACACCAGCACCGACAGCUGCCGCCGCCGUAGCAGCAGCAGCAGCAGCAGCCCGUCUCUCACCUCUUUUCCACGUUCUUCACCGCCACCCGCACCUCGAAAAAAAAAAAAGAGACAACGAUACACACACACACACCAGCGAAGAAUACGUGAAGACACCACCACCAACACAAAGCAAGUAUUCUCUUUAGUGCGUCUUAAUUAGAAAACGCACGCACACGCGGGGAACCAAACUUAGAAAAAAAAAACAGUUUCGGCUAAAACUAGAAGAGGCGGCAAUAAACGCUUCUUCAGCCGGAUAGUGAUUUGCACCAACGUAGCAACUCGGCGAGAGACGCGCUGACGGGGGAAGGACAAUCGACGGCGAGGAAAUCGCUCUGCUUGGAACGCGUCCAGAAAGCAAAAGGAAGGCAAACACCGUGACGAGAGCGCGAACCAAGGAGGGCAGGUAACAGGUGCCGGACAACGAAGCAAGAAGCGUGCGAAUAGUCUUCCUGUGCUCUGUUCGUGCCCGUGUGUGUUGCCGCUGUAACUUUUCCUGUGAAGGUACGAAAGAAAUACAUUACCAAGGAAAUUCAAAAAGAUAAUAAAAGGUAAAGGAUCACUCAACCCCUCUUCCGCCCCGCGCAACCUACGUAAAGGAGCACAACCAAUCAUAUCUGCGACGCCGUUGCACCGCUGCCGUGACUUAUCACCACCCUCCCUCACACACGGAGCCUUAUCCGAAUUGGUGCUGUUGCUUCUUCGUAUUGUUCUGAUUCUUAUCAUCACGCGCUUCUGCGCUUCUACCGUGCACCCAGUGCUCUGCGGCCUCGCUAUUCUCAUUGCUCGCCACACCGCACCUCCGCUGUGUUCCUGCCACAUUGCUGCUACUGUCGGCUUUUUUGGGGGGUUACUUGUAUGCGUGUUCGUAUUCUCUCCUUCUGUGAGCAUACCUCUUUGUUUCUUUAUUCUUGAUCGUGUCGGAGCAGCAAAAGACGCCGCAGGCACCGCUCAUUCAAAAGGGGCAGCCCUAUUGUUUUCUUCCGGGGGUGAUAACGAACUCCGGGACGCUAUCAAAGGACGGCAGCGUCGAAUCAGCGGUAAGGAAGAAACAGAAACUCAAGUCUUUUCCACAGCUUCGUUUUUUUUUCUUUUGUUGUUUGUAGUUUGCAUCUGGCGCUCAGUGCUACAUACGUCUUUCUGUCUUCUUUUUCAUUGUCUUAUUUUUCUUUUUGUUUCUCUUGUGCUCGUGUCUACCCUUCAGAGAACACAAGACAGGUGGAGCAUCACUCAGACAGAUUACAUCAAGCGAAAAAAAAAAACAGAACAACAACAUAAAAACAUUCAGACGGGACAUACGGCAGAAGGAACUAUAUCGAGGACAUCCGGGAGGAUACCGCACGAGACGAGCCAAAAGGAGGAACUAUCUGGUUGAGCAAAGAAAGGACGGCACGUUGACACACCGCGGUAUUUUCCGUGGGCACUUACGCAAACGUGAUUUCUUCGCGGUUGUGUGUGUGCGUGUGUGUGCCUUGAUUGCAACGUGUAUCCCUUUACACCCCCUCCCUCCCCUCCUCCUUCCUGUACUCAUCCCAUCCACUUCCCUCCCCUUGACCGUCAUUCUCUUUUUUUCCCCGUUUUUUGACUUGUUUUACUGUUUACUGAGUCUCUCCCUCUCUGUGUUUCACUUGACCCCUCCUCCUUCCCCCUUUCCCUACUCGCAAAAACACCAAAAAAUCAAAAACAAUCACCACUAUCACUACCACUACCAACACCACCCUUCCCACUUGUCUCUCUUUCUCUUUUCCGUUGUUGGGCUGCCUUCAUUUUUUUCUUUCGUUUUGCCAGCUCUCUCUCUGUCGGUCCGUCCGUCUGUCUGUCUGUGUGCGUGUGUGUGUGCUGGUCUCGAUCUCUCUCGAUUCCAUCAGUCCGCCGUCUCUCCCUCUCUCUGCAUUUUGGUUCCCUGUCCCUGUCUGCUUGCGUAGCCGCAUUUAGCUCAGCUUCUCGACAGAUUGCAGGUGUCUCUCUUUUUUUUUUUCAAAUCAUCGCCUCACAUUUUUCUUUCGUUUGCUUCGCCCUCUCUCGCCUUUUUCCGGUGGUCGGAACGUUGCGUUUUCCAUCUUUCUUCUUGGUUUACGGGUGUGUGCGUGUCUGCGUGUGUUCGUUCUCCACUCUCUCUUUUCUCUGGAGGGCAUCUCUCUCUGUCUGUCUCUGUGUGUGUCUCUGUGAGUGGGCGUGUGUGUGCCCGCAGCGAAAAAAAAAAACAGACCACAUUUAGAAAACUAAAGAAAGAAACACUCUUUUUGUUUUCGCUUCGUCUUCCCGCUCUCACUCACUCACUCCGUCUCACGUACUCCGUCUGUCUCGCUUUCUUUUGUUGUUCUCGUUGUGGUUCGAUUCUAAUAGCCUCUCUUAACUUUGUUUUCCACUUGUUCUUUCUGUUUUUUCUGUGCUGCUUCCCCUGUGUUUGUUUGUUUGUAGCUCCCUCCCCUUCCUUUCUGUCCUGCCACUCUAUAUCUCCUCGUGAUUUGGCGUGUUCCGGCCUUUCGAGUCUGUGUGCGUUGAUUCCCAGCGCACGCUUUCGCAGUACUCCCCUCCUCUUGUUUUUUUUUUACUGUGUUGUGUGUGCCCGUUUUUUUUUUUCGUUUCUGUCGGUUUGGCAUCUAUAUAAUUUAUUCGGUAGUCGUUCUCGUUUUUCACGAGAGGUGUCGCCGCCGUGACUACAUCCGCCCCACUGACGCAGCUCCCUCCCCCUCCUUGUUUCUCUCUCGUUCUUUGCCACCCACCUUUUGUGUGUACGUGUGUUUGCGCUUUUUUCUUUCCGUUUUUAUUGUGGUUUUUGCAUCUCCCUCCCUCUCUUCUUUUCUCUCAGGGUAACGGUGUUACUCUUUCUUUUCGCUUGUGUGUGUGUGUGAGUAUUUUGUGUUAUGCCCUCUUUCGCUUUUUUAACUCUUAGCCAUCACUGCCAUCGCUGUUCCUCACUUCCUCUCGCCCUCUCAGUUCCUCUUGCACGCGAUUUACACAAUCGUAGAGUUUCCCUUUUUUUUUCCUUCCUCGCUUCUGCGGCCCGGCCCCUUCUGCUGAGCGCCUUCGCUCCCUUAUAGCGUCGCAACCUAGCGCGCCGACCGCUCUGCAGCACCGUCGAGCUCGUUGAGGUGGUAGUCAUUUUUUAUUUCUCUCGUUCUUUCAGAAGGUGUCCCUGCACUCUUCGCCUUGUUUGACUGGCGCAGACGCAUAACACGAGGAGCGCGUCUAGUUGCAUCUUCAGCACACGCUCUACUAGCUUGUCUCGUGCACUUGCUUGCUCAUCGACUCCCGCAUAACUGGACUCCCUGUAUAUCGCUCUCUUUAUUUUUCCUUGAGGUGCUUCUCUUUUAUGCUGUCAGUGCGUUUCUUGUUUGCGGUUUUUAAGCUAAUCUAGCUGGUUUCCUUUUUCUUCUUGUCUUCGUUCUUUGUACAGCUCGUGCUCUCGACCAUCCACUGCCUUUUUUCUGCUUCCGAUUGCGCCCUCCCUCCCCCCACCCGUCCACCACCCUCUCUAUCUAACCUGCCGGUACCUUUUGGUUUAUUCCAUUUCGUGUCAGUAGCGGCGUAGCUACCAUCAUGCAGAACAGCAACAGCAGUUAUCCCUCGCAGAAGCCGUACCGCGGCCGAGGCAUUACGGAUGGCCCCAGCAUGGGCACGCCGCAUUCAACCUACUCGCAGCAGAAACCUCCCACGUCCCCGCUCGUGUUUGCAGCGCCGGGUAGCGGAACGCCCCCGCAGCAGCAGGAUCCCCUCUCCGCUUCGCUGUACUCUGAGCCACUGCCGAUGAACUAUAAAGCGCCGCUGGGGCGUCACAACAGCCGCACCCUCAUUGAGGUAGAGGAUAGUCCUAUCAAAGUCACUUGCCUCACCAAGGGUGGUACCCGCUCGCCGUACAUGACGCCGAUGCCGAGCGACAUGGCCCCCGAUGCGGACCGCAGCGGCCGGCACAAUCCCUACACCUUCAGCUACUCCGGUAGCUCCAGUCCCAUACAGGUGUCCACGCCGACACACUCGCCACAGGCCAGCGCGUUCGACAGCAGUGCUGCCGCGUCCCGCAGGAUGCAGCGCAGCGGCCCGUACGGCUGCACGGAGCCGCCGCUGGCGGAUGCCCGCCUCGUACAAGGUCACAGCGUGCGCCUCGACACCACGUUCGCGCUGCCGCCCGAGGUGGUACAUCGCGCCUUGAAAGAUCGCUGUCGCUACAUCCAGUUCCCUGCCAAUCUUCCCGUCUUCCCUAAGGCUGGCACACUCGGCCCCAACGCGAACAACGGCAACAACUCGAGCUCGAAUGGUAGCACCGGCAGCGGCGGCUCUGGCGAGAGCAGUCUUCCGAUUGCCCUUUUCAUUGGCCAAGUGCGAUUCGAGACGACGGCCGCGGAGCUUCUGUGGCUUGUGCAUCGCACCUGCGGGGCCUGCGCGAGCCACCUCGAGAGCCGUGGUGCGGGGUGCUAUCUUCUGUACUGCAAGAGCGAGGCCGACCUGACGCUGGUUCGCAGCCUGCACAAGCGCAUUCUCUUCGACAUUGGUGGCGUAUGGCUCGCCCGUACAGCAGACGAGGUGGACGCGAUGUGUGAGUACAUCGCGCUUGACGCACCGCUUCUCUCCAAGAAGGCUCGCCUGCCGCGCGAUUCAAUGGUGGUCGAGGAGCUAAAGGCGGAUGCUAUCAACAGCGGAGGUCGUCGCGGGCACGAAAAGCGAGCCAUGAGCGACCAUAGCAUCUCUGGAAACCGGAGGGGUGGUGGCCGCGGCGCCAGUGCACAAGGCUCUGGUGUCGACGACAUGUCGCAGACGGCGAGCGGUGAUGCCCGUCAGCAGCCCAUGCAGCAGCAGCAGCAGCGGCGGCGGGAUCAAGAGGGACUCCCAACGUAUGAGGAGUCAGCUCCACCAUACCCUGGAUACCCACCCCAGUCCUUCGGAGAAUGCCCUCUCUACAAGUAAGCCGUUCGAUGCACCUGCAGGACAGGAGAUCCACGUCGAGAAUCGAGAGCUCACGGGCUCCAUCUCGCUUCGCCUGGGCGAAACCUCUCAACCCAUGGCUGGCUCAACUUGCACUCCCUUCUUUGUUGCGACGGUCUGGGAGCGUCCAGUACACUGCCCGAGCUCCCACUGACGCAUACACGGCUGUAAAGCGUCUCCUUCUCCUGAGCGUCCGUGUCUGUACUUGUCUCUGUGAUGUGUGCAGGUCUUUGUAUCUUUCUGUCUGGUCGCGCGCCAAUACGGGCCGAAUCAUCCCCCCCCCGCGAUGUUCACUCCGUGUUGGCUGUCCCUCUCUCCUUUUUCUUUUUUUUGGGGUGGGGGGGGCUUUUUUCUGUCGCCAAUGCCUGUUCCGCCCACCGAGCCACCGGACAAACUUGAUCGUCCUUCUGUCCGCCUUCUCCUCUCUCUGCAUGUCGUUGCCCGCGUCUUUUUUCGAAUUGUGGUUUUGCACCGUGCACUCUCUCCGCCAGCUUGUUCGCUUCUUGAGGGAGCGAGCGACAGCGCGAAAAAAGGUCCUGGCCGUGUGCAUUUUUAUGUGUGUUUCUACCAGUGUAGGUCAUAGUUGUGGUCAGGCGCAUAACAGACGCGCUUCAACUGCCGAAACCGUCCCUUCAUCCCAGAUCCUUUCCUUCGUGGCGUCUUUUUUUUACCCUGUUCUUUUUUUCGUCGAGAGCAGGAGCUGCAGGGGAACGACAAAAUAUGCACGCAUGCACACACGCGCUCGAAGAAUGCAGAACUUGCAAAAAUGGCGAAGGGGAAAAAGCUUCCCGGCGCAUCGGUGAGCCGUCGAGAGCGCUAGAAAGCGGUAAAGGCAGCAAACGAGACAAGCGCAGGGCCCAGCCAAAGGUGAUGCAAUGGUGGCUCGGUGCAAGAGGGAUGCUGGUGCCCUCUCGGCUGUGGCGGCUCUUUGGCUGUGAAACACGCGCAGACGGCGAGGAGGGCGGAUGCGAAACAAACAAAAAAGGCACACACACACAAUGCGAGACCCUCGGCGGAUGCAGAGGCAGAGCGGAAGCUAUUCCGUGAUGCGAAUGCUGGUGCCGCAUGGCGUGUGUAAAUUCACAUGCGGCUGCUCCUCUGUGCUUGUGCGGUGGGCCGUUUGUGCAACACGUUUUUUUUCGUUUGGAUGUUUCUGAUUUGCGUUUUACUCUCGCCUUCCUCCGCUUUAUAAAGAGAGAAGAAAAAAAAGAAGAACAUGUAUCACUACUCCACAACGCAGAUGUGACGGACGGUAGUGACGUCCACACGUACGCACAAGGAUAGCAGUCACCUUUUCUUUUCUCUUGCCGCCGUUCAGCGACCAGUGCGAGAUCGAGAGCGUGGGUGCGAGAUGAGACGAGAGACGAGAGGCGGAAGCGCGCAGGGGAGCAUGGGUGUCUAUCUAUAUAUAUAUAUAUACAUCUAAGUGUACAAUCUUCUACGAAAAAAGAAAACACACACACGCACAAAGACACACGUGCGCGGCCCACCCUGCACUUUCCCCUAUUUGCUCGUUUCUUACAUGUUUCUCCCCCUUCCUCUUCUUUUAAAUCUCCUUUUGGCGUCUUUCGUUUCCUCGGUUUGCUUCCUUCUCCUCUUCGGCCAUGGCGUUGUUCGUGUUGUUGUCAUUUUACGCACACCAG
This 6749-nucleotide unclassified non-coding RNA is filed under the name Leishmania donovani. RNAcentral's name for it is "gene:LdHU3.27.0900(CDS-product:hypothetical_prote in_conserved)". Lineage: Eukaryota; Euglenozoa; Kinetoplastea; Trypanosomatida; Trypanosomatidae. The record is from RNAcentral.